RNAcentral lists this ribosomal RNA (503 nucleotides) under uncultured archaeon. Its description in RNAcentral is "bacterial SSU rRNA". It matches the Rfam family "Archaeal small subunit ribosomal RNA", at positions 925 to 1429 of the family's 1478-position model. The record is from RNAcentral.
UCUCACCGGAUAAGACAGCGGAAUGAUUGCCGGGCUGAAGACUCUGCAUGACUAGCUGAGAGGAGGUGCAUGGCCGUCGUCAGUUCGUACUGUGAAGCAUCCUGUUUAGUCAGGCAACGAGCGAGACCCACGCCAACAGUUGCCAGCAUGUUCUCCGGAAUGAUGGGGACACUGUUGGGACCGCCUCUGCUAAAGAGGAGGAAGGAAUGGGCAACGGUAGGUCAGCAUGCCCCGAAUUAUCCGGGCUACACGCGGGCUACAAUGGGCAGGGCAAUGGGUAUCGACACCGAAAGGUGAAGGUAAUCCCCUAAACCUGUCCUUAGUUCGGAUUGUGGGCUGCAACUCGCCCACAUGAAGCUGGAAUCCGUAGUAAUCGCGUUUCAAAAUAGCGCGGUGAAUCUGUCCCUGCUCCUUGCACACACCGCCCGUCAAACCACCCGAGUGAGGUCUGGAUGAGGCUGCGGUCGUUGCCGCAGUCGAAUCUGGGUUUCGCAAGGGGGGUU